ACAAACAACAUGUGAUUUAGGGCUGCAGCUAACGAUUAUUUGAAUAAUCGAUUAGUUGCCGAUUAAUUUCUACGAUUAAUCGAUUAAUCGGGAAAAACGACAAAAUUACAAAACAAAGCGGUUUAUAUGAUUUUACUUGAAAAAUUAUGUUUAAAGGCCAUAUUAAAACAAAUUGUGGAU
Molecule: long non-coding RNA, 180 nt
Organism: Bufo bufo (common toad)
Lineage: Eukaryota; Metazoa; Chordata; Amphibia; Anura; Bufonidae
Exons: 3
Source: RefSeq, a predicted model, not a curated record